CGAAGAAGCUUUCAUCGUCUUUCAUCGGUUUCUCAAAAGGUGACUGCUGACCAACUGUUUAUACUGUGAUGCAGACAGGGGCAAUAUAAAGUGAUGAGGUGAAUUCCAGAUGGAGGAAGAUGUAGACAGAGAAACAUCUUUUACCACUGAUCAGUGAUGUUAAACAUCAGGCUGCUGCUCAUUAACAACAUGUACGGCUACAUCAGCUCAUCCCAAAGAUUACCAACCCGCCUUUGUCAAGUUCUAAGACAGAUGCUCACAGUCUUAAGACUGAUGACCGGCACAGCAACAAGGAUCAAGUAUUCUUUGAACUCUCGCGGAGGAGUCUUCGCCUUCAUCAGGAUUUCCUGCAUCAUCCUAGCGAUGAGCAAUCACCAGUCAAAACAAGUUCAAACUGCCUGGAAUGUGUAAAGGUCUCCAUCUACGAGGGCAGCAGCAAUUCUACUUGUUGUUUCAUGGAACAUGUAUAGGAGUGGGUGCCGGCACAAAAAAUUCAGGUACAUGUACAGUUCAGGUCCGGACCUG
This is a long non-coding RNA of Branchiostoma floridae (Florida lancelet), 525 nucleotides long. RefSeq lists it as uncharacterized. Lineage: Eukaryota; Metazoa; Chordata; Leptocardii; Amphioxiformes; Branchiostomatidae. The record is from RefSeq and is a predicted model, not a curated record. The transcript is spliced from 3 exons.